CCUACGGGGGGCAGCAGUCGAGAAUCAUUCACAAUGGGGGAAACCCUGAUGGUGCGACGCCGCGUGGGGGAAUGAAGGUCUUCGGAUUGUAAACCCCUGUCAUGUGGGAGCAAAUUAAAAAGAUAGUACCACAAGAGGAAGAGACGGCUAACUCUGUGCAACCAGCCGCGGUAAUACAGAGGUGUCAGGCGUUGUUCGGAAUCACGUGGCGUAAAGCGUGCGUAGGCUGUUUCGUAAGUCGUGUGUGAAAGGCGCGGGCUCAACCCGCGGACGGCACAUGAUACUGCGAGACUAGAGUAAGGGAGGGGGAACCGGAAUUCUCGGUGUAGCAGUGAAAUGCGUAGAUAUCGAGAGGAACACUCGUGGCGAAGGCGGGUUCCUGGACAUUAACUGACGCUGAGGCACGAAGGCCAGGGGAGCGAAAGGGAUUAGAUACCCCAGUAGUC
Molecule: ribosomal RNA, 446 nt
Filed under: uncultured bacterium
Lineage: Bacteria
Description: partial 16S ribosomal RNA
Rfam family: Bacterial small subunit ribosomal RNA
Source: RNAcentral